AAGUCUAGCCUGCCCACUGAUUUGUUUUAAAGGGCCGCGGUAUAUUGACCGUGCGAAGGUAGCAUAAUCAUUAGUCUUUUAAUUGGAGGCUUGUAUGAAUGGUUGGACAAAAAGUAAGCUGUCUCGGUUAUAAUAAUUGAACUUAACUUUUAAGUGAAAAGGCUUAAAUGUUUCAGGGGGACGAUAAGACCCUAUAAAGCUUGACAAUAAUUUCGUUAUAUUAUAAAUUGUUAGUAUAACUUGAUUUUAACGGGAGUUUGUUUCGUUGGGGCGACGGGAAUAUAAUAAAUAACUGUUCUUUUAAAUAUAAUUACAAAAAUACUUGGUAAACAAUUGAUCCUCUAUUAGAGAUUAAAAGAUUAAGUUACUUUAGGGAUAACAGCGUAAUCUUCUUUGAGAGUCCACAUCGACAAGAAGGUUUGCGACCUCGAUGUUGAAUUAAGGUAUCCUUAUAAUGCAGCAGUUAUAAAGGAGGGUC
This 478-nucleotide ribosomal RNA is filed under the name Penaeus pulchricaudatus. RNAcentral describes it as "partial large subunit ribosomal RNA". It matches the Rfam family "Bacterial large subunit ribosomal RNA", at positions 1850 to 2577 of the family's 2925-position model. Lineage: Eukaryota; Metazoa; Arthropoda; Malacostraca; Decapoda; Penaeidae. The record is from RNAcentral.